This 457-nucleotide long non-coding RNA is filed under the name Androctonus crassicauda. Lineage: Eukaryota; Metazoa; Arthropoda; Arachnida; Scorpiones; Buthidae. The record is from RNAcentral.
GUAGAUUUCCAGGGAAUGGGAUACCAAGGAGGAGAUGACGAAUUUUUUGACCUUGAUGACUACUAGGUAGUCGACAUGGGUCCGGCAAAACGUGCCUCACCCUCCAGCAUUCAACCCAAGGAGCAUACCCGUGGUGGAGUCCAAACAGAUCCCUGCCUUACAAUUGGAACAUUUCCAGAACUUAAUCCGUGAGCAUUGGAUACUGAAAAGAAAAGCGAAACAAAACCAGACCCAACCCUACACUUUGGUUUGUCGUGGUGUCAGCGCAGCAGCCUACAACCAAGUCCCUAAAUGCCACUUUGGACUAAUUUAAAAGAAUCCCAGUUUUUACUUUUACUUGAUGGUAAAAUUGGUUGCUCUUGUAUUUUAUGAAAAAAAUGAUUUUUUUAACCUUCAUACAUAGAAGCAAAAUACUUUAACUGCUGUAAACCUUCAGAAGUCAGUAGACGUGAGAUCA